GCUGUUGACACGAGCUUGUUUGCCAAGACGCCACAGCCUCCACGGCCUGGUCCAUCUCACAAUCGUCAUGGACCUUCAUGGCAUCAGGCAUUGCCUCAACAUCACUCUGGGCCUAGCAGCAGCAGCACCCCUGCCCGGUCUGUUAUGGAUAUCCAAAUGUGGCGGAGGGUCCGCCGGUGGUUGUGCUGCUGCGGCAGCACUGAGGAGGAGGAAGAGGACAACGUUGAGCUGGAGGAGGAGGAGAAGAACGUCCAGCUGGAGGCGGAGGGCGCCCCUCCAGACCCAGAGGCGGUCAUGCAGCAGGAGUGGGAGGAGUUCGUGCAAGAGUUCUAUGCCGCAUAUAGCAGACUGGC
This is a long non-coding RNA of Schistocerca serialis cubense, 353 nucleotides long. RefSeq lists it as uncharacterized. The transcript has 4 exons. The record is from RefSeq and is a predicted model, not a curated record. Lineage: Eukaryota; Metazoa; Arthropoda; Insecta; Orthoptera; Acrididae.